This 76-nucleotide transfer RNA is filed under the name Nitrospirota bacterium. RNAcentral's name for it is "Nitrospirae bacterium (groundwater metagenome) tRNA-Asn". It matches the Rfam family "tRNA". From Rfam's summary of the family: Transfer RNA (tRNA) molecules are approximately 80 nucleotides in length. RNAcentral also lists the same sequence under 1 other name. The record is from RNAcentral. Lineage: Bacteria; Pseudomonadati; Nitrospirota.
UCCCGGGUAGCUCAGUUGGCAGAGCAGGUGGCUGUUAACCACCCUGUCGGGGGUUCGAAUCCCUCCCCGGGAGCCA